UACGAAGGGGGCUAGCGUUGCUCGGAAUUACUGGGCGUAAAGGGCUCGUAGGCGGCCAACUAAGUCGGACGUGAAAUCCCCAGGCUCAACCUGGGAACUGCGUCUGAUACUGGAUGGCUUGAAUCCGGGAGAGGGAUGCAGAAUUCCAGGUGUAGCGGUGAAAUGCGUAGAUAUCUGGAGGAACACCGGUGGCGAAGGCGGCAUCCUGGACCGACACUGACGCUGAGGAGCGAAAGCCAGGGGAGCAAACGGG
Molecule: ribosomal RNA, 253 nt
Filed under: uncultured bacterium
Lineage: Bacteria
Description: partial 16S ribosomal RNA
Rfam family: Bacterial small subunit ribosomal RNA
Source: RNAcentral